RNAcentral lists this long non-coding RNA (214 nucleotides) under Capsella rubella. Its description in RNAcentral is "long non-coding RNA (CRUB_LNC001753)". The record is from RNAcentral. Lineage: Eukaryota; Viridiplantae; Streptophyta; Magnoliopsida; Brassicales; Brassicaceae.
AUACAGGUCGUAUGGUUUUGUCCGGGAAAGAAGACGGAAUCUCCAUUACAUUAGGGAUAUUUAUUACCUUGUGUAUAUUUGGAAUUAUCCAAAUCUUUAGAGGAAUUGGAACAUCUGAUCCUAGAUGUUACUAUUAGCUAGUCUGUCACUGGUAAUAUAAAUGAAAACAUUUUGCAUUUCAUCGGUAAAGGCUUGAUGCAUUACUAAUAAUGGA